GUUUUAUUUUAGCUUGUUUUAUUUACUUUAUUAUUAGUAUUACAUGAAAAUUAAUUUUUGUUUGAGCAAAUUGAUUUAUUAUUAAUUUGUUGUAAAUUUUAAAGGUGUUUAUAAUUUUUUAAUUCUCAGUAUAUAAUUUUGUAUUUAGUAUUUAUGAAAGUGCGAUACGGUAAUUAAUAAUUAACUUGAUGAAUAUUCGUGCCAGCAUUCGCGGUUAUACCUUAGAGUUGAGUAAAAUGGUUGGGUUUUAGUUAAUUGGUUGAUUUAAUUUAAAUUAUUAAUAAUAAAGGGUAAAAUUGAAUUAUUAUUAUUGUAAUUACUGUAAAUCGUGAUUGAAGCUAAUAAACUUUAGUUAUAGACUAGGAUUAGAUACCCUAUUAUUCUUGAGCCAAAGGAGGACAAACUUAAUAUAUAGUAGAUAUUUUCUUUAAAAUUAAAAAAUUUGGCGGUUAUUUAAUCUUUUCAGAGGAACUUGUUUUAUAAUCGAUAAACCACGUAAAAUCUUACCUAUUUUAAUAUAUUGGUUUGUAUACCGUCAUUAUUAGAUAAUUUUAAAAGAAUAAAUUAUUGCAAUUAAAGAAUUUUAAUUAAAUUAGAUCAUGGUACAGCUUAUAGAUAGGUAAAAAUGAGUUACAAUAAAUUAUUUUAUAUGAAUUAAUGGCUUAAUUGGUCGUUAUGAAGGAGGAUUUGAUUGUAUUAUUUUUUUAAUAAGUGAAUAAGAUAUAAGCUCUAAAUUAUGUACAUAUCGCCCGUCGCUUUCGCCAACAAGCGGAAUAAGUCGUAACAUAGUAAAUAUACUUGAAAGUGUAUUUAGAA
Molecule: ribosomal RNA, 816 nt
Filed under: Troglocarcinus corallicola
Lineage: Eukaryota; Metazoa; Arthropoda; Malacostraca; Decapoda; Cryptochiridae
Description: 12S ribosomal RNA
Source: RNAcentral